RNAcentral lists this ribosomal RNA (511 nucleotides) under uncultured bacterium. Its description in RNAcentral is "bacterial SSU rRNA". It matches the Rfam family "Bacterial small subunit ribosomal RNA", at positions 10 to 522 of the family's 1533-position model. The record is from RNAcentral.
ACUUUGAUUCUGGCUCGGGAUGAACGCUGGCGGCAUGCCUAACACAUGCAAGUCGAGCGAGAAGCUUAGGAAAGAGCCUUCGGGUGAUGGAAUAAGCGGAAAGCGGCGGACGGGUGAGUAACGCGUGGGUAACCUGCCCUAUGGAGGGGGAUAACGUUUUGAAAAGAACGCUAAUACCGCAUAAGCGCACAGUAUCGCAUGGUACAGUGUGAAAAACUCCGGUGCCAUAGGAUGGACCCGCGUCAGAUUAGCUAGUUGGUGGGGUAAAAGCCUACCAAGGCGACGAUCUGUAGCCGACCUGAGAGGGUGAUCGGCCACAUUGGGACUGAGACACGGCCCAAACUCCUACGGGAGGCAGCAGUGGGGGAUAUUGCACGAUGGGGGAAACCCUGAUGCAGCAAUGCCGCGUGAAGGAAGAAGGUUUUCGGAUUGUAAACUUCUAUCAGCAGGGAAGAAAAUGACUGUACCUGACUAAGAAGCCCCGGCUAACUACGUGCCAGCAGCCGCGGUA